AAAAUGACUCUCGGCAACGGAUAUCUCGGCUCUUGCAUCGAUGAAGAACGUAGCGAAAUGCGAUACUUGGUGUGAAUUGCAGAAUCCCGUGAACCAUCGAGUCUUUGAACGCAAGUUGCGCCCGAAGCCAUUAGGCUGAGGGCACGCCUGCCUGGGUGUCACG
This 163-nucleotide ribosomal RNA is filed under the name Styphnolobium burseroides. RNAcentral's name for it is "5.8S ribosomal RNA". It matches the Rfam family "5.8S ribosomal RNA". From Rfam's summary of the family: 5.8S ribosomal RNA (5.8S rRNA) is a component of the large subunit of the eukaryotic ribosome. Lineage: Eukaryota; Viridiplantae; Streptophyta; Magnoliopsida; Fabales; Fabaceae. The record is from RNAcentral.